GCUUGAAUGCUGACACACACAAACACACAUUCACUCAGAGAACACAGAUGCUGUUUCCCUCUUCCUCUGCUCCAUUUCCCCCCAGCUGAAGCGGCAUCUAUAAGACCUGGACUUCUCAGUAUCUUGCAAAGUUCUUGGGAACGUCUGUAGCUGGCAAGUUGUUGGAAAGCAAAUAUGUCUCUGCCAUUGUCCUUCCUGAUAUGUCUGUCAGUCUUCAACCUGUGUUUGGGAACUGGGCCUGUGGAGGAACUCAUUAUACCCA
Molecule: long non-coding RNA, 262 nt
Organism: Poecilia latipinna (sailfin molly)
Lineage: Eukaryota; Metazoa; Chordata; Actinopteri; Cyprinodontiformes; Poeciliidae
Exons: 2
Source: RefSeq, a predicted model, not a curated record